GGGGAUGACAGGCAUAGACAAAGGAAUGCAUUCCCACGCGCAUGACGGAGCUCUUGUAUCUCCUAAAACUGCAGGAAACAAUCAACUGCCAAAAACACAGUUGAAGGCGUUGCCUCUCCGUACUUCGGUGCGAAGAACUUCGCCUUUGCUUACGCCUAACGGCUAAGCGAUGUCGGACGGAUUACUUGUUUGGUAGUAUCCGUCUCGGCAUAAUCGAACCAGACUGUAACGCGAACUCUUUCCGCUUCGCGCCAAACCAAAGGGAAUCGGCUACAGCGCAUUUUGUUCAUUUUCAAACGCUGUAUCUUAAAUCCCAAAACGAACUAGGUCAUGUAGAUCCGUAGGUUUGUCUCUUUUGCACGGGGGUUCAAUUCCCCCCGUCUCCAUCG
RNAcentral lists this transfer-messenger RNA (389 nucleotides) under Candidatus Taylorbacteria bacterium RIFCSPLOWO2_02_FULL_46_40. It matches the Rfam family "transfer-messenger RNA". Rfam says of the family: Bacterial tmRNA, also known as 10Sa RNA or SsrA, is named for its dual tRNA and mRNA-like properties. Its role is to liberate the mRNA from a stalled ribosome. To accomplish this part of the tmRNA is used as a reading frame that ends in a translation stop signal. Lineage: Bacteria; Candidatus Tayloriibacteriota. The record is from RNAcentral. RNAcentral also lists the same sequence under 1 other name.